This 253-nucleotide ribosomal RNA is filed under the name uncultured bacterium. Its description in RNAcentral is "partial 16S ribosomal RNA". It matches the Rfam family "Bacterial small subunit ribosomal RNA", at positions 524 to 776 of the family's 1533-position model. The record is from RNAcentral.
GACAGAGGGUGCAAACGUUGUUCGGAAUUACUGGGCGUAAAGCGCGUGUAGGCUGCUUGGAAAGUCGGAUGUGAAAGCCCUGGGCUCAACCCAGGAAGUGCACUCGAAACUUCCGAGCUCGAGUUCUGGAGAGGAUAGCGGAAUUCUCGGUGUAGAGGUGAAAUUCGUAGAUAUUCGGAAGAACACCAGUGGCGAAGGCGACUCACUGGACACAUAUUGACGCUGAGGUGCGAAAGCGUGGGGAGCAAACAGG